RNAcentral lists this long non-coding RNA (539 nucleotides) under Androctonus crassicauda. The record is from RNAcentral. Lineage: Eukaryota; Metazoa; Arthropoda; Arachnida; Scorpiones; Buthidae.
UUCCUGAAACAAUGUAGACUGAAUGGGGUAUAUCCGAAUUCCAUUUUCCCGUUGAAGUUACCGGUGAAAUUGAAGACUUUGCUGAUUAGAACUAGAAAUAGUUGUUUGUCCGCAGUGAUUAUAGAUGCUAGAAGAGAUCUUUUUAGGUGGAAAAAUCACUUAGAGAAAAAAGACCUAAGGAAUCCAAAAGUUGACAAUCUUGCUCAACCCGUACCAUCUUUUUCACAGUUUAUUAAUGCAAACCAAUGAAUGGUCAACAAUAGGUUUAGGAAGAAACUCAAGUGGAUUAUGUUCAAGCAGCUCAAAAAGAAGGAUAUAACAAAACCUAACACAUAUCUUGCACUGGAUGGUAUAGAAGUACUGGACUAUGUGGAUGAAGUAAUGAAGUUAGGACCCAAUACUUUAAUACAAGACUUACCAAUAGGAGAGAAUUUAGCCAUACAGUUAGAACCUAUUUUACAAACUUGUGAUCAGUUGGUUGCUGAUGAUAUUAGAUGGCAAAUAGUGAGAGAUAUAAGGAGUAGCCAUUUAGAAACCCG